Molecule: ribosomal RNA, 253 nt
Filed under: uncultured bacterium
Lineage: Bacteria
Description: partial 16S ribosomal RNA
Rfam family: Bacterial small subunit ribosomal RNA
Source: RNAcentral
UACGUAGGGUGCAAGCGUUGUCCGGAAUUACUGGGCGUAAAGAGCUCGUAGGCGGUUUGUCGCGUCGUCUGUGAAAACUCGAGGCUCAACCUCGAGCUUGCAGGCGAUACGGGCAGACUUGAGUACUGCAGGGGAGACUGGAAUUCCUGGUGUAGCGGUGAAAUGCGCAGAUAUCAGGAGGAACACCGGUGGCGAAGGCGGGUCUCUGGGCCGAUACUGACGCUGAGGAGCGAAAGCGUGGGGAGCGAACAGG